CCUGUUGGAGCUAUUCAAGGUGUCAGAAAAGUUACCACAAGGAUAUUUGUCAUGUGCCAGCCAAGCAUUAAUAGCAGUGAUAUUUUCUCAAUGUAAGCUCUUCCUAUGGUUGUAGAGCAGAAUUUACUAAACUUGGAUUGUUCACCCAUUAAUAGAGAAUGUGAGACAGUUUAGAUCAUUGUGAGAUGUACU
Molecule: non-coding RNA, 192 nt
Filed under: Lepisosteus oculatus (spotted gar)
Lineage: Eukaryota; Metazoa; Chordata; Actinopteri; Semionotiformes; Lepisosteidae
Description: Eukaryotic large subunit ribosomal RNA
Rfam family: Eukaryotic large subunit ribosomal RNA
Source: Rfam by way of RNAcentral